GACGAACGCUGGCGGCGUGCUUAACACAUGCAAGUCGAACGGAAAGGCCUGCUUUCCCUUGUGGAUUGCGGGUACUCGAGUGGCGAACGGGUGAGUAACACGUGAGUGAUCUGCCCCCAACUUGGGUAUAAGCCUGGGAAACUGGGUCUAAUUCCCGAUAGGACUGCAGGGUGGUGCCUGUGGUGGAAAACGAUUUUCUAGUGGUUGGGGAUGAGCUCGCGGCCUAUCAGCUUGUUGGUGGGGUAAUGGCCUACCAAGGCGGCGACGGGUAGCCGGCCUGAGAGGGUGGACGGCCACAUUGGGACUGGGACACGGCCCCGACUCCUACGGGAGGCAGCAGUGGGGAGUAUUGCACAAUGGGCGGAAGCCUGAUGCAGCGACGCCGCGUGGGGGAUGACGGGCUUCGGGUUGUAACCUCCUUUCGACCGCGAGGAAGCCACCUGGUUGGAAGGGUGGUGACGGUAGUGGUAGAAGAAGCACCGGCUAACUACGUG
RNAcentral lists this ribosomal RNA (494 nucleotides) under uncultured bacterium. RNAcentral's name for it is "partial 16S ribosomal RNA". It matches the Rfam family "Bacterial small subunit ribosomal RNA", at positions 28 to 507 of the family's 1533-position model. The record is from RNAcentral.